This 1097-nucleotide long non-coding RNA is filed under the name Corvus moneduloides (New Caledonian crow). RNAcentral describes it as "lncRNA (ENSCMUG00000017475.1)". The record is from RNAcentral. Lineage: Eukaryota; Metazoa; Chordata; Aves; Passeriformes; Corvidae.
CGGCUCCCAAGAGCUCCCCCAGCUGCACUGCACCGCCCCAGCCAGCCUGAAGGGAGAAGCAACCGAGGAGCAGACAGACCACGCACCCUCGCUGCGCCUGCAGCUCAGCCCGGCUCUCCUCGCCUCCUCCCCAGCCUGCCAGGUCCUUCGCUCUUCAAAACUUUCCCUGAUGUUGUGUGCCGACCUCGUAUGGGUGCGUCGCCUCCGUUCUUGUCUGCUCCGCCCGCCUCGCAGAGGAUUUGCAGCUGUAGAGAGGCCCCUGCCUCUCUCCCUCGACGGCUGCCGGAGCUCCUAGUGGGAACUAACAGGCUGCAACUGGAAGGGAGACGACAGUGAGGGACAAGAUGCUGAACGAAGUUGAGCUACUCCUGCCAGACGUCAGCUGGAAACCGCUUGGCAGGUCUCUACCCCUCCGCUUUUUCCUGAAGCGCCAAAAUCUCCUGCAAAAGUUGCCGGGAACGUCACCGCUCUGCAGCCGGCCCCGGGGCGCUCCGCUCCACCGCCCCCCGACGGGGCGUCCGGGGGCUCCCGCGCCCGCCAGCGGGGCUGGCCCGGGGUCGCUUCCCACCUCCCUGCCUGCCGGCUCUGCCAGCCGCGCCUUAUUUGCUCCUCUGUUGGCUUGCCAGGUUUUCCCCCUACCCCCUUCACCAUUUCAUUCCCCUCCACCAUUUCACUCCCCUUCGUUUAAAAAAAAAAAAAAAAAGAGCCAAUUAAAGAGGGCGGGCGUGCUGGGGAGAGCCCAGCCUCCUGCCCAAUUCUGCGAGCCUCCCCACGCCUCGCCCCGGCCCAAUUAUAGACAAGACCGCAGGGGUGGGGAGAAAAAAGGACUUGCUUCGGGCGAGAGACCGGUUGUGAGUCCAGGGUAUCCCCAUCCUCAGGACGCUCGCGGCAAGGUUGGCUUCUCCCGGCUGGGACUUGAGAUGCCAAGGGAUGGGGGGCAGCGCAGGUUGCCGGGGUGUCUCCCGCACUGGCGCUCGCUCGUGCCAGCAAAGUUUUUUGGGGCCCCCCAGACCAGAGAAAUGGCAGAUCAUACAACCUGCUGGGAACCUCCACCUUCUCCACUCUUCACAGGCUGGCAGAGGUUGAAGUUUGAUUGA